UGGUAUUGUUUUUAAUUUUAAUCUUUUUGCUCACUUGUUGCUAGUAUAUAGAAAUACAACUGAUUCUUGUACUUUGACUUUGUAUUCUAUGACAUUGCUAAAUUCACUUAUUAGUUCUAGUUGUUUUAAAUGAAAGUUUAGAAUUUUUUAUGUCAUGUCAUAUGUAGAUAAACAGCUUUACUUUGUCCUUCGCAAUCUGUAUGCCUUUUAAUUUCUCUCUCUUGCCUGACGGCGAGGACUUACAGUAUGGCGUUGAACAGGAAUUGUAACACUGGAUACCCUCACCUUAUUCCCAGUCUCAGGUGGAGCAUCCAGCCUUUUUACCAAUCCCUAAGAUGUCCAUCUAUCCCACUGUCUGCUCUGUGUAGUUCACACAAAAUAGUUAAAACUAAAGCUAUUGCUGAAGUUCAUGUUCAACAGCUAAAACUGAAGCUAAGACAGGAAGACACCUGGAAAUAAUUGAAAUAACAGUGAAGUGGCUUACGAGACUGAAAGGAGCGGGGAUCUGCUGCCCAUCACACUUGCUACACACCAAGUUUGGUAGAGGGUAGGCCGUGGAGCAUCACUCAAGAAGCGUGAAAUGGCUGCACGGUGAGUCCAAGUUCACGGUCAGAGAAAUGGUCAUUAUUCUACUAAUUUUUAGUUUUGUCUGGAAUCCAAGACAAUAUUGACUGAAGAGUUAAACCUCCAAAAGACAGGCUGGUCAUCUUGCUGGACCUUUCUUCCUCUUUGUCAAGUUUUACAUCACUAUAUAAAAAAGUGUGUGACCGUCUUCAGCUCUCCAUGCCUUCCUCAGUGUAAGUUUCUAUGUAGUUUCUGCAGACUCUGCCAUUAAGCUGUUGUACUUCUUCCCUACUUUGCCAAGUCUACUUUUCCAUGAUAAAUUGUAAUGCAUUUUUCUCAUAAACACUGCAAGUUGGGUAAAUAAUUGUGUUUGAUUGCACUGAUAGAAGGGAAAAGGAAGGUUGAGGGUCAGCUUUCAUAACUGGGCUGUGGUUUACAUGUCUAUACUCUGAUUCUCCCCAUGGCCUUGAUCUUUCAGACUCUUCACUCUAUUAUACAUAUUCUCAUACAUUGCUUCAAAUUCUUCACUGAACAAUGGGCCACAUGUC
Molecule: non-coding RNA, 1112 nt
Organism: Equus caballus (horse)
Lineage: Eukaryota; Metazoa; Chordata; Mammalia; Perissodactyla; Equidae
Source: RefSeq, a predicted model, not a curated record